This 206-nucleotide ribosomal RNA is filed under the name uncultured bacterium. Its description in RNAcentral is "partial 16S ribosomal RNA". It matches the Rfam family "Bacterial small subunit ribosomal RNA", at positions 568 to 774 of the family's 1533-position model. The record is from RNAcentral.
CACGUAGGCGGAUCUUUAAGUCAGGGGUGAAAUCCCGGAGCUCAACUCCGGAACUGCCUUUGAUACUGAGGAUCUUGAGUCCGGGAGAGGUGAGUGGAACUGCGAGUGUAGAGGUGAAAUUCGUAGAUAUUCGCAAGAACACCAGUGGCGAAGGCGGCUCACUGGCCCGGUACUGACGCUGAGGUGCGAAAGCGUGGGAGCAAACA